Molecule: ribosomal RNA, 321 nt
Filed under: uncultured Neisseria sp.
Lineage: Bacteria; Pseudomonadati; Pseudomonadota; Betaproteobacteria; Neisseriales; Neisseriaceae
Description: bacterial SSU rRNA
Rfam family: Bacterial small subunit ribosomal RNA
Source: RNAcentral
AACGCUGGCGGCAUGCUUUACACAUGCAAGUCGAACGGCAGCACGAAAGAGCUUGCUCUUUUGGUGGCGAGUGGCGAACGGGUGAGUAAUACAUUGGAACGUACCGAGUAAUGGGGGAUAACUGUCCGAAAGGAUGGCUAAUACCGCAUACGCUCUGAGGAGGAAAGCGGGGGACCUUCGGGCCUCGCGUUAUUCGAGCGGCCAAUGUCUGAUUAGCUAGUUGGUGGGGUAAAGGCCUACCAAGGCGACGAUCAGUAGUGGGUCUGAGAGGAUGAUCCGCCACACUGGGACUGAGACACGGCCCAGACUCCUACGGGAGGC